Molecule: ribosomal RNA, 254 nt
Filed under: uncultured bacterium
Lineage: Bacteria
Description: partial 16S ribosomal RNA
Rfam family: Bacterial small subunit ribosomal RNA
Source: RNAcentral
UACGUAGGGGGCAAGCGUUGUCCGGAAUCAUUGGGCGUAAAGCGCGUGUAGGCGGCCAGAAAAGUCCGCUGUGAAAACUCGAGGCUCAACUUCGAGCUGUCGGUGGAAACUUUCUGGCUAGAGUCCGGAAGAGGAGAAUGGAAUUCCUGGUGUAGCGGUGAAAUGCGCAGAUAUCAGGAGGAACACCGGUGGCGAAGGCGGGUCUCUGGGCCGAUACUGACGCUGGAGGAGCGAAAGCGUGGGGAGCGAACAGG